Molecule: transfer RNA, 72 nt
Filed under: Clavelina lepadiformis (light-bulb sea squirt)
Lineage: Eukaryota; Metazoa; Chordata; Ascidiacea; Aplousobranchia; Clavelinidae
Also listed under: 1 other name
Description: tRNA-Asp
Rfam family: tRNA
About the family: Transfer RNA (tRNA) molecules are approximately 80 nucleotides in length.
Source: RNAcentral
UCCUCGUUAGUAUAGUGGUGAGUAUCCCCGCCUGUCACGCGGGAGACCGUGGUUCGAUUCCCCGACGGGGAG